This 245-nucleotide long non-coding RNA is filed under the name Malus domestica (apple). RNAcentral describes it as "long non-coding RNA (MDOM_LNC013443)". Lineage: Eukaryota; Viridiplantae; Streptophyta; Magnoliopsida; Rosales; Rosaceae. The record is from RNAcentral.
UACAAAAGUAUAAGGGUUGAAGGUGAUGAAUCAGUGGAUCCACAAUGAUAAAUCAGCAGAAGUAGAAAAGAGAGCCAUGCUUAGGUAAAAGCCUAUUUCUUAGGACACCCAUCAAUGGUGUCGGCGAAUCCCCUUAUUGCCCCUGACACAUGGUUCUUGGGAGGGUUUAGAGAAAACCCAGUUGGUUUGUUCUUAUUCCUUUGGUUCUUCUGAACGAUGUCUGGAGUCUGGCCAUAUUAGGCUAA